RNAcentral lists this ribosomal RNA (484 nucleotides) under uncultured bacterium. RNAcentral describes it as "partial 16S ribosomal RNA". It matches the Rfam family "Bacterial small subunit ribosomal RNA", at positions 28 to 523 of the family's 1533-position model. The record is from RNAcentral.
GGUGAACGCUGGCGGCGUGCUUAACACAUGCAAGUCGAACGAGAACGGAUUAUAGCUUGCUAUAAUUGUCAGCUAAGUGGCGCACGGGUGAGUAAUGUAUAGGUAAUAUGCCUCUUACUAAGGGAUAACAAAUGGAAACGUUUGCUAAUACCUUAUACUCCUUAUUAACAGAAGUUAAUAAGGGAAAGAUUUAUUGGUAAGAGAUUAGACUGUAUUGUAUCAGUUAGUUGGUGGGGUAAUGGCUUACCAAGACUAUGACACAUAACUGGUUUGAGAGGAUGAUAAGUCACACUGGAACUAAGACACGGUCCAGACUCCUACAGGAGGCAGCAGUGGGGAAUAUUGCACAAUGGCCGAAGGUCUGAUGCAGCAACGCCGCGUGGAGGAUGACACAUUUCGGUGCGUAAACUCCUUUUAUAUGAGAAGAUAAUGACGGUAUUAUAUGAAUAAGCACCGGCUAACUCCGUGCCAGCCGCCGCCGUAA